UGAGAGUUUGAUCCUGGCUCAGAACGAACGCUGGCGGCAGGCUUAACACAUGCAAGUCGAGCGGGCCCUUCGGGGUCAGCGGCGGACGGGUGAGUAACGCGUGGGAACGUGCCUUCUGGUUCGGAAUAACCCUGGGAAACUAGGGCUAAUACCGGAUACGCCCUUUUGGGGAAAGGUUUACUGCCGGAAGAUCGGCCCGCGUCUGAUUAGCUAGUUGGUGAGGUAAAGGCUCACCAAGGCGACGAUCAGUAGCUGGUCUGAGAGGAUGAUCAGCCACACUGGGACUGAGAUACGGCCCAGACUCCUACGGGAGGCAGCAGUGGGGAAUUUUCCGCAAUGGGCGAAAGCCUGACGGAGCAAUACCGCGUGAGGGAUGAAGGCCUUUGGGUUGUAAACCUCUUUUCUCAAGGAAGAAAUAAAUGACGGUACUUGAGGAAUAAGCAUCGGCUAACUCCGUGCCAGCAGCCGCGGUAAUACGGGGGAUGCAAGC
RNAcentral lists this ribosomal RNA (490 nucleotides) under Gloeochaete wittrockiana. RNAcentral describes it as "partial Bacterial small subunit ribosomal RNA". It matches the Rfam family "Bacterial small subunit ribosomal RNA", at positions 1 to 539 of the family's 1533-position model. The record is from RNAcentral. Lineage: Eukaryota; Glaucocystophyceae; Gloeochaetales; Gloeochaetaceae.